AUCAGAAGGUGUCGUGCUAAGAAUGUUAAUGUUUGAGAGUUUAAAAAAUCCCCGACACCACUCACUUUAACAGAUUGACAAAAACAGUCAAAGAGCUGCACCUGAAAGGAAACGAUUCCAAAAAAAGUGAAUUCUUUCACACUUAACAUUUUACUCACAGACUUUAAAAGUGAGGACGUUUGAAUAUUUGAAACAUGGAGAUGGAAGUGGGGUUAAGAGGGGGGGGGGGGCGGCGAUGGUUAAAGCAGGAGUGGCAAAAAGUGCGUUUGCUGUUUUACAGGAAUGUGUUAUGAGAAAAAAAUCUUGUGAUUCACCUCCAUACACUCCCCAACCCCCUGCCCCCCCCCCCUUUUCACAAUUCACAGCCACCUUUCAGUGUUCAGAAUUCAGUGCAAAGUAUCUAAAGAAUGUGAGGAUGCGGGAAUUUGAAUUUCGGGGUGCAGGGGUGGGGUGGGAGUGGAGGGUUGAUGCUUCAAAGAUGCUAUAAAGAAUGAUCUAAAACGUUUUACUUGUAAAGAGAUCCUUCACAGGCUGACAAAUGCUCGCUCCAUUUCCGCUGCUGAUCCAAACAUGAUCUAUUGACAAGUGAUAGGAUUCGUAUCCUUCUGGAUGAUCCCUUUUUCCCUCGUUUCUCAAAUGCCACAUCUUUCUUAUGUGAAGUCAACGGCCGAGUCGCAGUUUUCAGAAAAGUAAGAAUAUUCCAGCAAAAAAAUGUUAGACUCCUUGAAACAUCUCCUUGCAGAUUUACUGCACAGUAAGUUGUGGCACAGAUUAUUGAACAAUUUCUGAAGUUCGGAAUUUUGUGAAACAAAACAAAUAAAAACAGUAAAUAAAUAAAUAAACAAAACAAUAACCCCCCCCCCAAAAAAAAAAAAAAACAACCUAUGAAUAAAUAAUAAAAAAUAUUUGUAAAUUCAAAAUUCAAAAACAAAUUAUAACCCAAAGUUAUUCUACAUCUUUCUAUGCAAGGGAAAAAUAAACGUUUCAUCCCGAAUGAGUUCACACUGCAGCAAAUAAUUUCUGGAAAAAAAUAGACCAUCUCUAAUUCUUCUGAAACAUCUUAAGUACAGUGAUAACAUAGUUAGAAGGCCAUUAACUAUAAAAAUUGCGGGAUAGUAUUGUUGGCCGUAUGAAAACAUUCCUAACCACAACGAAAACGUCUCUGACAAGCGGAGUUUUGAAGUCCUUUCAUGUAGGCUUCCUAAUAUGGAAAACAUCGAGGGACAAUGUAACGAGGUUUCGAAAAUAAUAUAAUAAAGAUCUAACAAAGUGUAAAGGUCAAUGAACAAAAUUAAUAUUAAUAUUAUAAGAAUUAAGGUUUAAGUAGGUUCCCUAAUUUCGAAAAAUGUGCAAAUUCGGUAUCCACCGAAACUUGAAUAUACGCUCUUGGGACAGUGGGGAGUACAAACGCUGCUGAAAAUAUACGCGCACGGGGAUGGAAACGUUAAAAUUUAGACAUGUGGCAAGUUUAAUCUUGCCAAUUUGUUUGCUAACCCCACUGUUUGUCUCUAGCACUCACGAAUGGAAGUCAAGGAAGGACGUCUAUUGUAACGACAGAAGUUCACAAUUUCAACACAGAUAUACAAUCUCAUUGACAAAUCUUAUGCUUCGAAGAGGGACGGAGGCUAAUGGCUUGAAUAGAAGAUUCCUGGAUCGGAGAAUGAAAGUGGCCUUAUAAGGUAAGUUGGAACUCGUUUCGUUGUUUGGUUUAGCUUUUGUGUGUGUGUGAUCUGCCCAUCCAGACGGCUAUCUUGCUGUCUUGUCUCGAGAAGAGAAUAAUAUAUAGAUCUAGAUCUAGCUACGUAUGUGCUGGAACGCUGCAAAUGUCUAUCUCUCAAUCCAUAUAUUUAUCGACCUAUAUAUCUAUUUAUUCAUCUAUCUGUCUAUCCGU
RNAcentral lists this long non-coding RNA (1891 nucleotides) under Aplysia californica (California sea hare). RNAcentral describes it as "uncharacterized LOC101854911". Lineage: Eukaryota; Metazoa; Mollusca; Gastropoda; Aplysiida; Aplysiidae. The record is from RNAcentral.